This 2089-nucleotide small RNA is filed under the name Pongo abelii (Sumatran orangutan). RNAcentral's name for it is "processed transcript". Lineage: Eukaryota; Metazoa; Chordata; Mammalia; Primates; Hominidae. The record is from RNAcentral.
AAAUGAGGGCGAUUUAGGCUGCACUUAAAAUGAGUUUAGGCAGGGACAGCCAAGUCACCUUCCAGGGAAGAGUCUCCCCCGGGAGUGAGACCCGGCGGCUUCUGUUGUGUGGUCGGCUGUGCAGCAUCGUGAUGAGAAGGCACAGGGGCCAGGCCGCGGAACUGUCUAAAGAGGGGACUCCCAGCUUCAAGGACUUUUUUAUGUGACAGCUCUGCCAGGGAGGCCUGGAGACAUCACCACAGCCCCCACCCUCAGACAACACCCAUGAGUCAGCAGAGCCUGUUGGCCUGACUCCUGAGUGCCGUGCGGCCCCUGGGAGAAGUCACUGACACGGCUGAGUAACGGCGCCUCGGCCCUCAGCUGGCUCUGCCGUUUCACAGCAAGGGACGGUUGAUGAUGAAGCGCCGGCCGUGUAAAUGAAGAUCGGGUGAGGAGCAGGACGAUGCCCAAGGGUGGGUGCCCUAAAGCACCACAGCAGGAAGAGCUUCCCCUCAGCAGCGACAUGGUGGAGAAGCAGACUGGGAAAAAGGAUAAAGAUAAAGUUUCUCUAACCAAGACCCCAAAACUGGAGCGUGGCGAUGGCGGGAAGGAGGUGAGGGAGCGAGCCAGCAAGCGGAAGCUGCCCUUCACCGCGGGCGCCAAUGGGGAGCAGAAGGACUCGGACACAGGACCGCCGGGGUCCUGCUUGUCCUGGGGCAGCCACGAGGGAGCCCUCGUCAGGAGCGCCGUGGGCCGAAGCUGCCUGCCCUCUGCACGUGGAUGUUUCUUUGGAACAAGGGGAAAAAUUAUGAUUUUCUUAUUUUGCUUUGACCUGUGAAUAACACCCUGGUCUCUGGUGCCUGGGGUGUGCUCUCUGCAGUGCUGCCGGGCACAUGCUGGUUCCUUCAGCGUUAGGUGCUUGGCACCUUCAGUCUUUUCCUGACGUCAUGUUUGUUCCUGGUGCCUCAGAUAGGAGACGGCUCCACUGACGGCUCCUGCUUCCCCAUUCCUGGAGGGAAGACAGACUUAGCCAAUGGUAUCUGUGGGACUUCUUGGAACUCUGAAUGCCAGACCUUGCCCAGUGCUAGAGGCGACAAGUGUGUGAAGUUGAAGAGGCUUCUCCCACCCGCUCAGCUGCAGUGGACCCGAGCAGGCAGAGAGAGCAGAGUGCAGCAGGGGCCAGGCUGUGCUUGCAGGCAGGGCAGGUGCCUGGAGAGCAUGGCGCCCCUGGGAGCCUCUGGCCAGGAAGGGCAUGUGCACUGCAGUGUGCCCUGGACCAGUGGCCUCAGCUCAGUGUCUUGACGAGGGUCCCAAGGCACUCACGUGUGUAGGGAUGUUAGCAACACACGGCGGGAAGCCCUGAUGCAGUUUCUCACCGAGCACGUAGCAGACCCCACGCACCCCACACAGGGCAGGCACCCCACACAGGGCAGGCACCCCACACAGGGCACAGACCCCACGUACCCCACACAGGGCACAGACCCCACACAGGGCACAGACCCCACGCACCCCACACAGGGCAGGCACCCCACGCAGGGCACAGACCCCACGCACCCCACACAGGGCAGGCACCCCACACAGGGCACAGACCCCACGCACCCCACACAGGGCACAGACCCCACACAGGGCACAGACCCCACGCACCCCACACAGGGCAGGCACCCCACACAGGGCACAGACCCCAUGCAGGGCAGGGCCAGCCCAAGCCCAGGCCCCUCCCCUGUAGAUCUCCUCCCAGGCAGUACCAGAGCCACGGUCACUUCCACACCAUCUCCUUCCCUAGAAACCUCGGCAGACUCUUCCUCCUCUCCUGGCUACACAGGGGCCCCUGCCGCAGCCUGACCCUCCGCCACCUCCUGAGUCUCCGGAAAGCAGGGUCGGCCUCUGAAUACAGAGGACUUGGGUCCUGCUGGAGGAUGCUUGGCCAGUGGGUGCUGGCACGCGAGCAGCCCGCGGGGAGUCAGAGUGGGGCUGCAGCGAAGGCUGUGGUGGUUGAGGUGAGGGUGGUGGCCAGGUUUUGUUGCCGUAGUGAGGAUUCUGGGGUUACCCUAAGAGCCACCACAUUCAGGCACUCAUGAAAAAGCACAUCAAAAUAAAAUAUUUUCACAUG